AGGCCUCCAGAGCAGGAGAGGGCUGCCAGGUGCUUUCCCAUGGAGCUGGAGCUUCGUUGCUGCCUGUCCCGAUGACGAGGCCUUUGGGAUGGGUUCCUCAGCAGCUCUUCUCCCGUGCGGUUUGCCUGCACUGCCAGCAGCCCCGUGACAUAAGGAAGCAACCAGGGCCUGGGAUGGAAGUCCCAUCUGAGUGUGCUGAAGCCACCAGGUGCUGCAGUGCCUCCAGGACCUGGCAUCAGGUGUAAACAAUGUUUUUGGAGAGCACUCGGCAUUCAAAUGGGAUUUGACACUGGUUAUCCUUGCAAAUUAUGGCUCUAGGGCAGAUAGGAAUGAGAUCUCUCCGAGGCGCUGUGAAAGCUGCUGUGCUCUGGGCUUCACUCAGCACGUCUCUAAGCCUCCUCCAGCGGUGCAAGUCCCCGUUCCCCUGGAAAGGAUGGGUCUCAGCAUCCCGAGGAAAGGUGCACCCUCUUUUCACCCACAUUUUCUGAUCCAUUUGUGCUUCAUCGGUGUGUAUGUGAGCUCCAGAGAGAGUCGGGAGAGCCUGAACCCAGUCAGAGACCUCCUUGUCUUCAGGAACAUCUCCCUGUAUGCCUUCCUGGGGUCACACAGCUGACGUGAGGCACCGCAGGGAGUGAGGAGCCCGUGCAGCACAGCGCCGAGCCCUCUCCGAGGGGACUUGAGGGCGAGGAGCACAGCGGGGUCACCUCCAUCCCCGGCACAGAGCAGGAGGCUCUGUCCUGGUGUCGACCCCGGUGACUGCAGAGCGAGGGCCAGGAUGUUCCCCGGGCUGGAGCCGAGCCGUGCCGAGGUCAGAUAUCCAGGGGCAGGAAGAAUAAUGUGUCCCCAGGGAUGUUUGAUAGACCGAUGGCUGUGUGUCCCUAACGCCUGGCCCCACGAAGCACGUUGAUGCAGCACACGUGCAGCAAUGAGGGUGCCAAGCUGCUGCAAUUCAUGUGCUCCUAGCUCCAGAAAAGCCAAAUCUUAGAUCCACGUUUCCCCUCUGCGAGGGCUGCCCUUAAUGGGGCCCUCUGUGUUUGUUCUGAAUUAUUCAUAAAUAAGGGUUCUUCCAUACACACCCGUUUUGCUUAUCCUGCUUCGGAUCUGGCGUCUUACAUCUCAGGCUGGCUCCACUAAUUAAUUGGCACCUAUGAGAUUAGGAGGUGAAAAAAUCCCUCCAAGCCCUUCUGAGAGCUUUGUAUCUGAAUUCACAGACUAACCAAGGACUGAGGUUCUGCCUACUAUUAAUAUUCACUAAAUAAUAUUUAUCCUUAUCCUUAUCCUCCUCCUUUUCUCUCUCCUCUUCCUUUGUGCUGUAUUACCUUAAGAUGAGGCCAUCACAUCAGCAUCGCUCAGAGCUCCCAGAACAGGCUUUACAGACAGAAUAAGUCACUAUAUAUACGUCAAACAACCUGAUAUACUUCAGUAACAGAAAUAAAGGUGAUCUCCCCAUCAGUUUGGCUGAGUGGGAGGAAUGCAAAGUACUGGGAAUGGGCUUGGAGGUAGGUGGCUCAGCCCCAAAUGCUCACUGUCUGUGGGUGUUUCCAUGCCAGGAUGGCCACCUUGUGGGGUCAGCAUAUGGCUGAUACCUUAGGGAUGCAGAAGACCUUGCCUCCCGACCAGAUGGAUUUUGAUGACUUGAAUUUUCCCUUGUGUUGUG
This is a non-coding RNA of Anas platyrhynchos (mallard), 1657 nucleotides long. Lineage: Eukaryota; Metazoa; Chordata; Aves; Anseriformes; Anatidae. The record is from RefSeq and is a predicted model, not a curated record.